UUUUCGCAAUGCCCGAAAGGGUGACGAAGCGACGCCGCGUGGGUGAGGAAGGCCUUCGGGUUGUAAAGCCCUGUCAGGAGUUAAGAAAUGUAGGUACGCUAAUAUCGUAUCUAUUUGACAAAGGCUCCAAAGGAAGCCACGGCUAACUCUGUGCCAGCAGCCGCGGUAAUACAGAGGUGGCAAGCGUUGUUCGGAAUUAUUGGGCGUAAAGAGCACGUAGGUGGAUUUGUAAGUCAGAUGUGAAAGCCUUCUGUUCAACGGAAGAAUUGCAUCUGAAACUACAAACCUUGAGUAUAGGAGGGGAGAAUGGAACUUCUGGUGGAGCGGUGAAAUGCGUAGAUAUCAGAAGGAACGCCGGCGGCGAAAGCGAUUCUCUGGCCUAUUACUGACACUCAGUGUGCGAAAGCUAGGGGAGCAAACGGGAUUAGAUACCCCGGUAGUCCUAGCCGUAAACGAUGGGCACUAAGUAGAGGGGUUUU
Molecule: ribosomal RNA, 479 nt
Filed under: uncultured anaerobic ammonium-oxidizing bacterium
Lineage: Bacteria
Description: bacterial SSU rRNA
Rfam family: Bacterial small subunit ribosomal RNA
Source: RNAcentral